ACUCCUGCGGGAGGCAGCAGUGGGGAAUAUUGGACAAUGGGCGCAAGCCUGAUCCAGCCAUGCCGCGUGAGUGAUGAAGGCCCUAGGGUUGUAAAGCUCUUUCACCGGAGAAGAUAAUGACGGUAUCCGGAGAAGAAGCCCCGGCUAACUUCGUGCCAGCAGCCGCGGUAAUACGAAGGGGGCUAGCGUUGUUCGGAAUUACUGGGCGUAAAGCGCACGUAGGCGGAUCGAUCAGUCAGGGGUGAAAUCCCAGGGCUCAACCCUGGAACUGCCUUUGAUACUGUCGAUCUGGAGUAUGGAAGAGGUGAGUGGAAUUCCGAGUGUAGAGGUGAAAUUCGUAGAUAUUCGGAGGAACACCAGUGGCGAAGGCGGCUCACUGGUCCAUUACUGACGCUGAGGUGCGAAAGCGUGGGGAGCAAACAGGAUUAGAUACCCCGGUAGUCCCA
RNAcentral lists this ribosomal RNA (446 nucleotides) under uncultured organism. RNAcentral describes it as "partial 16S ribosomal RNA". It matches the Rfam family "Bacterial small subunit ribosomal RNA", at positions 335 to 797 of the family's 1533-position model. The record is from RNAcentral.